This 274-nucleotide ribosomal RNA is filed under the name uncultured bacterium. RNAcentral describes it as "partial 16S ribosomal RNA". It matches the Rfam family "Bacterial small subunit ribosomal RNA", at positions 523 to 796 of the family's 1533-position model. The record is from RNAcentral.
AUACGGGGGGUGCAAGCGUUAUUCGGAUUUAUGGGGCGUAAAGGGCGCGUAGGCGGCUUGGUAAGUCAGAUGUGAAAGCCCGGGGCUUAACCCCGGAAGUGCAUUUGAAACUAUCAGGCUUGAGUAUGGGAGAGGGAAGUGGAAUUCCUGGUGCAGAGGUGAAAUUCGUAGAUAUCAGGAGGAACACCGGUGGCGAAGGCGACUUCCUGGACCAAUACUGACGCUGAGGCGCGAAGGCGUGGGGAGCAAACAGGAUUAGAAACCCCUGUAGUCC